This 340-nucleotide ribosomal RNA is filed under the name uncultured bacterium. RNAcentral's name for it is "bacterial SSU rRNA". It matches the Rfam family "Bacterial small subunit ribosomal RNA", at positions 29 to 393 of the family's 1533-position model. The record is from RNAcentral.
AACGAACGCUGGCGGCAGGCUUAACACAUGCAAGUCGAACGCAUCCUUCGGGAUGAGUGGCAGACGGGUGAGUAACGCGUGGGAACGUGCCCUUUAGUUUGGAAUAACCCAGGGAAACUUGGGCUAAUACCGGAUACGCCCGAAAGGGGAAAGAUUUAUCGCUGAAGGAGCGGCCCGCGUCUGAUUAGCUAGUUGGUGAGGUAAUGGCUCACCGAAGGCGACGAUCAGUAGCUGGUCUGGAGAGGAUGAUCAGCCACACUGGGACUGAGACACGGCCCAGACUCCUACGGGAGGCAGCAGUGGGGAAUAUUGGGACAAUGGGCGCAAGCCUGAUCCAGCC